RNAcentral lists this ribosomal RNA (752 nucleotides) under uncultured bacterium. RNAcentral's name for it is "bacterial SSU rRNA". It matches the Rfam family "Bacterial small subunit ribosomal RNA", at positions 87 to 835 of the family's 1533-position model. The record is from RNAcentral.
GGUGACGAGCGGCGGACGGGUGAGUAAUGUCUGGGAAACUGCCUGAUGGAGGGGGAUAACUACUGGAAACGGUAGCUAAUACCGCAUAUCGUCUACGGACCAAAGUGGGGGACCUUCGGGCCUCACGCCAUCAGAUGUGCCCAGAUGGGAUUAGCUAGUAGGUGGGGUAAUGGCUCACCUAGGCGACGAUCCCUAGCUGGUCUGAGAGGAUGACCAGCCACACUGGAACUGAGACACGGUCCAGACUCCUACGGGAGGCAGCAGUGGGGAAUAUUGCACAAUGGGCGCAAGCCUGAUGCAGCCAUGCCGCGUGUGUGAAGAAGGCCUUAGGGUUGUAAAGCACUUUCAGCGAGGAGGAAGGGUUCAGUGUUAAUAGCACUGUUCAUUGACGUUACUCGCAGAAGAAGCACCGGCUAACUCCGUGCCAGCAGCCGCGGUAAUACGAAGGGUGCAAGCGUUAAUCGGAAUUACUGGGCGUAAAGCGCACGCAGGCGGUUUGUUAAGUCAGAUGUGAAAUCCCCGCGCUUAACGUGGGAACUGCAUUUGAAACUGGCAAGCUAGAGUCUUGUAGAGGGGGGUAGAAUUCCAGGUGUAGCGGUGAAAUGCGUAGAGAUCUGGAGGAAUACCGGUGGCGAAGGCGGCCCCCUGGACAAAGACUGACGCUCAGGUGCGAAAGCGUGGGGAGCAAACAGGAUUAGAUACCCUGGUAGUCCACGCUGUAAACGAUGUCGAUUUGGAGGUUGUGCCCUUGA